RNAcentral lists this ribosomal RNA (707 nucleotides) under uncultured Bacillus sp. Its description in RNAcentral is "bacterial SSU rRNA". It matches the Rfam family "Bacterial small subunit ribosomal RNA", at positions 28 to 716 of the family's 1533-position model. Lineage: Bacteria; Bacillati; Bacillota; Bacilli; Caryophanales; Bacillaceae. The record is from RNAcentral.
GACGAACGCUGGCGGCGUGCCUAAUACAUGCAAGUCGAGCGGACCGACGGGAGCUUGCUCCCUUAGGUCAGCGGCGGACGGGUGAGUAACACGUGGGUAACCUGCCUGUAAGACUGGGAUAACUCCGGGAAACCGGGGCUAAUACCGGAUGCUUGAUUGAACCGCAUGGUUCAAUCAUAAAAGGUGGCUUUUAGCUACCACUUGCAGAUGGACCCGCGGCGCAUUAGCUAGUUGGUGAGGUAACGGCUCACCAAGGCGACGAUGCGUAGCCGACCUGAGAGGGUGAUCGGCCACACUGGGACUGAGACACGGCCCAGACUCCUACGGGAGGCAGCAGUAGGGAAUCUUCCGCAAUGGACGAAAGUCUGACGGAGCAACGCCGCGUGAGUGAUGAAGGUUUUCGGAUCGUAAAACUCUGUUGUUAGGGAAGAACAAGUACCGUUCGAAUAGGGCGGUACCUUGACGGUACCUAACCAGAAAGCCACGGCUAACUACGUGCCAGCAGCCGCGGUAAUACGUAGGUGGCAAGCGUUGUCCGGAAUUAUUGGGCGUAAAGCGCGCGCAGGCGGUUUCUUAAGUCUGAUGUGAAAGCCCCCGGCUCAACCGGGGAGGGUCAUUGGAAACUGGGGAACUUGAGUGCAGAAGAGGAGAGUGGAAUUCCACGUGUAGCGGUGAAAUGCGUAGAGAUGUGGAGGAACACCAGUGGC